Molecule: long non-coding RNA, 1685 nt
Filed under: Zostera marina
Lineage: Eukaryota; Viridiplantae; Streptophyta; Magnoliopsida; Alismatales; Zosteraceae
Description: long non-coding RNA (ZMAR_LNC002474)
Source: RNAcentral
AUUGAUUUUUGGCACUAACUAAUGAGAUAAAAAUAAGGAGAGGAGAAUGGCAUCUUCAGACUAUAAAGGAAGAUUAAAAUUCCAAAAUAAAAAAAGAAAUGAGUCAAUCCAAACUCAAUUUUCAAAAAAAAACCUAGAACAAAGCAAAACGUAUGAGGAUUCAUUGGAAACCAAUAAUAAUAGGCAAUCUAAUGAAAUUCCACAUAUAAAUGCUCAAAAAAAUCAGAAAGAUGAUAGUUCAUAUCAUGAAAUAAUUCAAAAUCUGAACCAUGGAGUUCAGGAAAAUUCAGAUGCUCCCCUAGACAUUGUUUAUAACUAUUCAGAUAGGAAUAUGAAGGAAAUACAUUCAAAUUAUAAUUCAGACCAUUUUGAAUCUAUAAAUUCCAAAAUAGCUCAAAAAGAGGCUAUUUUAAGUCAUGAACAAACUCACACAUCUAAACAUAAAAUCCAAGGGAUUUUAAGCAGAAAUAUCAAUCCCCUGGACACUGGUUCUAACUAGCCAGACAGAAACAUGAAGGAAAUACCUUCAAAAGCUAAUUCAGACCAUUCUGAAUUUAUAAACCAUAAAACAGCUAAAAAAAAUCCUAGAAACCAGGUCCAGUUACCUUAUGAAGCAUAAUUUUAGAUGUCAUAUUCAGAAGAAAAUAAUAGAAAAAUUAGGACAAAAAAACAAAAAGAAAGAGGAAACCACAAGGAUUAUUCAAUCUAUAGGUCUGAAAACAGAAUUGGGAACUUAUAUAUCUAAAGAGACAAGAUAUUAUGUUCUAAUAACACUCUAUAUCCUUUUCUAAAGUUAUGUUCUAAAAAUCAAGACUCUUCAACAAAUAGAAUCAACACUAAACACUAAAGACACUGAGAAUGAAUCAUCAAACCAGCUGGAUUAUUUUUAAGAAAAUAACACACUAAUUGAUAUAAACCAGUCAUACAAUCCCAAAUAAAAUUAUGAGAAAUUUACAGCUACUUUUUAAAGCAUAAUACUACAUAAAUUUAAAGGAUAAUAUCUUGAUCCUAAAAAAAUUGAGAGGUCCUAGUAAAGAAGUUAAAUGUGACCCUAAUUGAUUUAAACCAUUCAUACAACUCUAGAGAAAAAUUAAGAAGUCCUAUUCAGCAAGAUGGUACUUGAAAAUAGAAACACAGAAAAUUAAAGAACAAUAGAUGAUUAAUUUGAUUAUUCAUCUUUUCUUGAAUUUCGUUAUGAAGAUAGCCUGUUAUAAUUGUUUAAUUGCAUUGGUGUGAAAAUGAGGAAAUUGAUUUUUGGCACUAACUGAUGAGAUAAAAAUAAAGAGAGGAGAAUGGCAUCUUCAGACUAUAAAGGAAGUUUAAAAUUCCAAAAUAAAAAAAGAAAUGAGUCAAUCCAAACUCAAUUUUCAAAAAAAAACCUAGAACAAAGCAAAACGUAUGAGGAUUCAUUGGAAACCAAUAAAAAUAGGCAAUCUAAUGAAAUUCCACAUAUAAAUGCUCAAAAAAAUCAGAAAGAUGAUAGUUCAUAUCAUGAAAUAAUUCAAAAUCUGAACCAUGGAGUUCAGGAAAAUUCAGAUGCUCCCCUAGACAUUGUUUAUAACUAUUCAGAUAGGAAUAUGAAGGAAAUACCUUCAAAUUAUAAUUCAGACCAUUUUGAAUCUAUAUAUUCCAAAAUAGCUCAAAAAGAGGCUAUUUUAAGUCAUGAACAAACUCACACAUCUAAA